Molecule: ribosomal RNA, 207 nt
Filed under: uncultured bacterium
Lineage: Bacteria
Description: partial 16S ribosomal RNA
Rfam family: Bacterial small subunit ribosomal RNA
Source: RNAcentral
GGCGCAGGCGGAGAUGUCAGCCAGACGUGAAAGCCCGGAGCUCAACUCCGGAACAGCGUUUGGAACUACAUCCCUAGAGGAUAGGCGGAGAAAACGGAAUUCCACAUGUAGCGGUGAAAUGCGUAGAUAUGUGGAAGAACACCGGUGGCGAAGGCGGUUUUCUAGCUUAUUCCUGACGCUGAGGCCCGAAAGCUAGGGGAGCAAACA